This 87-nucleotide transfer RNA is filed under the name Sphingobium sp. RNAcentral describes it as "tRNA-Ser". It matches the Rfam family "tRNA". Rfam says of the family: Transfer RNA (tRNA) molecules are approximately 80 nucleotides in length. Their secondary structure includes four short double-helical elements and three loops (D, anti-codon, and T loops). Lineage: Bacteria; Pseudomonadati; Pseudomonadota; Alphaproteobacteria; Sphingomonadales; Sphingobiaceae. The record is from RNAcentral.
AGUGGGUUGGCGGAGCGGUCUAACGCGAUUGCCUGGAAAGCAAUUGUCCUUCGGGGCACGUGGGUUCGAAUCCCACACCCACUGCCA